UAAGUUUGAUGUCAUCAUAAUAUCAUAUUCUCCGAAGUGUGUGCCAUUCAAAUUGAGUAUUGUUGUUUGAGACCUUUGGUACGUAUUUAUUUUAUAAAAAUGAGAGCAAAAUUGUGUACCUGAUGUUAUAUGCAGCUAUGUUUAAUAUAGUCCUAAUAUCUUCAACUCGGCAACAUGGCUAUGAUCAAGGUCUGGCACAUGGUCAGCUCCUUCAAGGUCCUAUACAAUAUAGUCCUGACAACAUUGAAAUAUUAAAUGUCAAGCAGCCUAUUUAAUGCAGGUUUUAUGGGCUAAGUGAGAUAAGGAAGAAUGAUGAAGGUACUGGACUGGAGUCUACCCAUAUUGGGCUUUCUUGUUUUAUGUGAAUGAGCUUUUCGUGCUCUAUUCCUUGCAAGAACCAUAGAUUGUAUACUUCAGAUCGUCGUCAAGAAGCUCAACCCGGAGAGCGUCCAGGGCCUGCAGGAGUGGCAGGAUAACAUGGAGAACUUCAACCCUUUCGGUGAGAAUGGAGAGCAGGGUACAGGGUAAGUACAACUUCAUUUAAGCAUUUGCAG
Zea mays is the source of this 554-nucleotide long non-coding RNA. RefSeq lists it as uncharacterized. The transcript is spliced from 3 exons. The record is from RefSeq and is a predicted model, not a curated record. NCBI's taxonomy places the organism in Eukaryota, Viridiplantae, Streptophyta, Magnoliopsida, Poales, Poaceae.